UGGAUCCAGACUUUGAUCAUGGCUCAGAACGAACGCUGGCGGCAGGCUUAACACAUGCAAGUCGAACGGGGUUCAUGGAGCUUGCUUUACGAACUUAGUGGCGCACGGGUGAGUAACGCGUGGGGAUCUGUCCUGAGGUACCGGAUAGCUUCUGGAAACGGAAGGUAAGACGGUAUAAGCCCUGAGGGGGAAAUAUUCAUAGCCUUAGGAGGAACCCGCGUUAGAUUAGGCAGUUGGUGAGGUAAGGGCUCACCAAACCGACGAUCUAUAGCCGGUCUGAGAGGAUGAUCGGCCACAUUGGGACCGAGACACGGCCCAAACUCCUACGGGAGGCAGCGGUGGGGAAUAUUGGACAAUGGGGGUUACCCUGAUCCAGCCAUGCCGCGUGAGUGAUGACGGCCUUCGGUUGUAAAGCUCUUUUACAUGGGAAGAUAAUGAAGGUACCAUGAGAAUAAGCACCGGCUAACUUCGUGCCAGCAGCCGCGGUAAUACGAAGGGUGCAAGCGUUGUUCGGAAUUACUGGGUGUAAAGGGCAUGUAGGCGGACGCAAAAGUUAGUGGUGAAAUCCCCGGGCUCAACUUGGGAACUGCCAUUAAAACUGGGUGUCUUGAGGGUUGGAGAGGAUGAUGGAAUAUCCAGUGUAGAGGUGAAAUUCGUAGAUAUUGGAUAGAACACCGGUGGCGAAGGCGAUCAUCUGGCCGAUUACUGACGCUGAGAUGCGAAAGCGUGGGGAGCAAACAGGAUUAGAUACCCUGGUAGUCCACGCUGUAAACGAUGACUGCUGGGUGUUUGCCCUUAGGGGUGAGUGCCAAGUUAACGCGCUAAGCAGUCCACCUGGGGAGUACGGUCGCAAGAUUACAACUCAAAUGAAUUGAC
Molecule: ribosomal RNA, 876 nt
Filed under: uncultured bacterium
Lineage: Bacteria
Description: bacterial SSU rRNA
Rfam family: Bacterial small subunit ribosomal RNA
Source: RNAcentral